This 73-nucleotide transfer RNA is filed under the name Felis catus (domestic cat). It matches the Rfam family "tRNA". Rfam says of the family: Transfer RNA (tRNA) molecules are approximately 80 nucleotides in length. Their secondary structure includes four short double-helical elements and three loops (D, anti-codon, and T loops). Lineage: Eukaryota; Metazoa; Chordata; Mammalia; Carnivora; Felidae. The record is from Rfam by way of RNAcentral.
GCCUGGCUGGCUCAGUUGGUAGAGCAUACGACUCUUGAUCUCGGGGUUGUGGGUUCGAGCCCCAUGUUGGGUG